This is a long non-coding RNA of Sorghum bicolor (sorghum), 192 nucleotides long. RefSeq lists it as uncharacterized. The record is from RefSeq and is a predicted model, not a curated record. The transcript has 3 exons. Lineage: Eukaryota; Viridiplantae; Streptophyta; Magnoliopsida; Poales; Poaceae.
AGGAAAGACUUAAAAAUAUAUUAAAUGAUGAAGACCUGAAUGAUCUUAUUAUGUUUUGGAGGUCUCCUGAAUGUCAAGCUCGCACUGAAAGAGGAAAAGCAAAUCGUGCGAAGUUGAGGGUUCAUCAUACAUCUGGAAGCAUUAGCCAUGCUUGUCGUAGUUAUAAUUUGGGUAAAGCACUUGGACGUCCCU